RNAcentral lists this ribosomal RNA (243 nucleotides) under uncultured bacterium. RNAcentral's name for it is "partial 16S ribosomal RNA". It matches the Rfam family "Bacterial small subunit ribosomal RNA", at positions 28 to 276 of the family's 1533-position model. The record is from RNAcentral.
GAUGAACGUUGGCGGCGUGCCUAACACAUGCAAGUCGAACGCUAGUAGCAAUAUUAGAGUGGCGCACGGGUGAGUAACACGUAGCUUACCCACCUCCCAGCGCGGGAGUAACGGUUCGAAAGAACUGCUAAUACCGCAUAAGCUCACGGCCUGUAGAGGGCUGCGAGAAAAGGACGCAAGUCACUGGGAGACGGGGCGUGCGGCCCAUCAGCUCGUUGGUGAGGUAACGGCUUACCAAGGCGA